UUUGUCCUAUCAUGUGACCACUUGUCACACUUCCAUCAAACAGUACCUGCCCCUUAGGUGUGCUAGGGAAUAAAUGAAAUGCCUGGGACAUCAUCGUUAAGUGGCAUCUGAUGCAUAAGCAGUGCCCUAGGAAUGGGGUUGCCUGCCUUGGUCUCUAAAGGAUGGGUUCAAAAGGCAAGAGCAGCACACAAGAAGAUAGCUUCAAGCAGGAGAUAAAGCUUGGCCCAGGGCCCAAAGGGGAUACGACCCUUCAGGUUGGCCCUGACCUCUGGGUUGGAUUACCAGUGACACAAUGAACAUUUCAUUAUGAGGCCAUCCCUUGAGCAAACUGACAUGCUGAAAGCUGCCCUAUGGAGAGGCUCAUGUGGCAAGGAACAGAGGGUGGCUUCUGGCCAACACCCAGUGAGGAACUCAGGCCCUCAGUCAAACAGCCUGCAAGGAACUGAACCCUGCCAAUAACCAGGCAGUGUCAGCCCCCGGCCAAUGACCACCAUGGACCUCCCUGUAGUUGAACAAAGUUGGGUUUGCUGACUGGUGGCAGUGAGGGAGAAUGCACACCACAGGGAGCUGUGCAGUGUCUCAGUAAGAAGGAGCCAUCCCGUGAGGCCGUUACUGCAAACAAGCUGAAAAUCCUGCUUUGUUUCUUUUGGACACAACAUGCUUUCCUUCAGCUUCAGUAGACGAUGAGGCCAGCACCACAUGGGCUAGAUGUACAUGAGAUGUGAGCAACCACACUUCCCCUCUGACGGGGACAGACAGCAUCACAGGACAUGAAGUUCUAAGAGGUUCAGUGACUUGUCUAAGAUUAAACAGCUAUGAAUGGAGAACUGGAGGCAAAUGCCUCAUCAUCUCUCACCUGGGCAACUGCAACAAUGAGCAGUUUGUGUCUGUGCCUGCAUCCAUCCUUCCAUCCUGUACUCCAGCAGCAGCCAGGGUGGUCUUUCAAAAAUGCAAAGCUGAUAAUGUUACUCCCCUGCUGUAAACCUUCCAGCGGUUUCCUAUUGCCUUCAGAAUAAAAUACGAAUCAUCUGGCCUCCAUCUAUCUCUCCAGGCUCAUCCUCUCUCAAUUUUCCAUAUCCUUCAGGCUGAGCUCUGAAACUUCUCCUGGCAGUUCAAGAGAGCGAUGGAGGGAAUGCUGGGGCACAUCUAAAUAAAGCCUCCAAGUGGGAGUUCCUGCUCAGCUAUGCAUGAGCUCUUUGUGACUUCAUCUCCCAGCCUACAACUUGUGAAAUAAGCACGACUUCACUCAGAGCACAGCCAGAAACAUACAAACUUUCCAAAAAUAUUUGAAUGUUGACAGCAGACUGUCUUGCAUUCCAGUGAAUAAUUGGUUUGUAUGAGUGUGUGUGUGACCUAAAUCCACAGAACUUACCAUUCUGUGGCUAUACAAAGUAAGUUUCAUAGCCCUGAUUUUCCAAAUCUCAAUGGUUAAUUGCCAAGCUAGCAGGCAGCCAUGCCUUUUUCCAGGAUGCUGGGGUGGCUGAUACUGGACUUUGAGGCAGUCCUCUUGCUCACUGGCUGCAGCCUGCUAGAAGGGCAGGAGAUCAAACAUAUCCCGAUGUGGGGUCUACAGCUGUUGUCUGACAGUGGUGACAGGGACAGGGGGAUUACUGUUAAUGGGGCCACCUGGAUAAUGGAUUCUUCUUUUUUUCUGUGCCUGCUUGCUAGGACCACUGCCUACACCACAGGUUUCUGUGGAUUCACUCAAAUUUCAGUGGCUCCCCAAGGCUGAAGGGAAGGUGGUCCUUCCAAGGGUCACUUUUAGUGAGCUGGGUCUCACUCCAGAGCUGCCUAGGCCCCCAGUGUUACAGCUCUGUCAGUAACACUGCCUUUUGAUACACGUACACCUGUAGCAGGUGGUGCCAGUGUCCUUCCUGUAAUACUCGAUCUUUCAGAGUGGGCCAGCUGACUGCAAGCUCCCAGUGUCUGCAUCCCUGUGCUCGAAGGCUUUUUUCCCCCAAUGCUAGGCCACUUUGCCCAUGUGCACAGCAGGCUGGAAGGGCUAGGGAGUUAAUAACCCCUCAGGAGCAGCCCUCAUUCAAUGACUUUCAGGAAUUGGUGUAUAAAUACCUCAGCUCCCUCAUUCCUUGGGUGGGAUAAUUCUAAGAUCUGGGUUCUGCAGACCUGGGUUUCCUAGAGUGUCCCUGUGGGAUUAUGGCCCAGACCCCCAUUGUGGUAGCUGGUAUGACCACCCUUUAUUAGCUACAGUCUCUUCCCUGUAUUAUGUCCCUCUUAUCUGCUAGUGUCACCUGUGCUUCCUAAUAGAACACUUGUGCUUGAACCCUUGUCUCAGGCCUGCUUUUGGGGAACCCAAACUUGGAAAAUACCCUGGUUCCAGAGGGGCAAGAACUCCAGCAUCAGACACAUAAUAUGCCUAGGAGCAGCCCUCUUCUGGGACCUCUGUCUUGUUGGGGCAUCCGGGUCACUGACUGGGUCCCCAUCUCCUGCAGGGCAAGUCUCCUCUCAGUCAUGAUAACCAAACAUCCCACUCCCCAACAGCCC
RNAcentral lists this long non-coding RNA (2502 nucleotides) under Homo sapiens (human). RNAcentral describes it as "HSALNT0291296". The record is from RNAcentral. Lineage: Eukaryota; Metazoa; Chordata; Mammalia; Primates; Hominidae.